RNAcentral lists this ribosomal RNA (458 nucleotides) under uncultured Anaerolineaceae bacterium. Its description in RNAcentral is "bacterial SSU rRNA". It matches the Rfam family "Bacterial small subunit ribosomal RNA", at positions 910 to 1382 of the family's 1533-position model. Lineage: Bacteria; Bacillati; Chloroflexota; Anaerolineae; Anaerolineales; Anaerolineaceae. The record is from RNAcentral.
UUGACGGGGGCCCGCACAAGCGGUGGAGCACGUGGUUUAAUUCGUUGCUACACGAAGAACCUUACCUGGGUUUGACAUAUAGGUUGUAGGGAACUGAAAAGGGACCGACCCUUCGGGGAGCCUAUACAGGUGUUGCAUGGCUGUCGUCAGCUCGUGUCGUGAGAUGUUCGGUUAAGUCCGCUAACGAGCGCAACCCUCGUCGUAUGUUAUAUGUGUCAUACGAGACUGCCGGUAAAAGCCGGAGGAAGGUGAGGAUGAUGUCAAGUCAGCAUGACCUUUAUAUCCAGGGCUACACACACGCUACAAUGGUCUGUACAAUGGGUAGCCAAGCCGCGAGGCGGAGCCAAUCCUGAAAGCAGGCCUCAGUUCAGAUUGCAGUCUGCAACUCGACUGCAUGAAGCCGGAGUUGCUAGUAACCGCAGGUCAGCAAUACUGCGGUGAAUACGUUCCCGGGUCUU